UGUCACCGCAUGGUGGUGUGUGGAAAGGGUUUACUGGUCUUGGAUGGGCUCACGGCCUAUCAGCUUGUUGGUGAGGUAAUGGCUCACCAAGGCGACGACGGGUAGCCGGCCUGAGAGGGUGACCGGCCACACUGGGACUGAGACACGGCCCAGACUCCUACGGGAGGCAGCAGUGGGGAAUAUUGCACAAUGGGCGAAAGCCUGAUGCAGCGACGCCGCGUGAGGGAUGACGGCCUUCGGGUUGUAAACCUCUUUCAGCAGGGAAGAAGCCACAAGUGACGGUACCUGCAGAAGAAGCGCCGGCUAACUACGUGCCAGCAGCCGCGGUAAUACGUAGGGCGCAAGCGUUGUCCGGAAUUAUUGGGCGUAAAGAGCUCGUAGGCGGUUUGUCGCGUCUGCUGUGAAAGCCCGGGGCUUAACCCCGGGUGUGCAGUGGGUACGGGCAGACUAGAGUGCAGUAGGGGAGACUGGAAUUCCUGGUGUAGCGGUGGAAUGCGCAGAUAUCAGGAGGAACACCGAUGGCGAAGGCAGGUCUCUGGGCUGUUACUGACGCUGAGGAGCGAAAGCAUGGGGAGCGAACAGGAUUAGAUACCCUGGUAGUCCAUGCCGUAAACGUUGGGCACUAGGUGUGGGGGACAUUCCACGUUUUCCGCGCCGUAGCUAACGCAUUAAGUGCCCCGCCUGGGGAGUACGGCCGCAAGGCUAAAACUCAAAGGAAUUGA
RNAcentral lists this ribosomal RNA (722 nucleotides) under Kocuria sp. 35H9. RNAcentral describes it as "bacterial SSU rRNA". It matches the Rfam family "Bacterial small subunit ribosomal RNA", at positions 181 to 913 of the family's 1533-position model. The record is from RNAcentral. Lineage: Bacteria; Bacillati; Actinomycetota; Actinomycetes; Micrococcales; Micrococcaceae.